GCCGAAGUGGUGGAAUGGCAGACACCAGGGACUUAAAAUCCCUUGCGGGAAACCGCGUGCCCGUUCGAGUCGGGUCUUCGGCACCA
Molecule: transfer RNA, 86 nt
Filed under: Oscillospiraceae bacterium
Lineage: Bacteria; Bacillati; Bacillota; Clostridia; Eubacteriales; Oscillospiraceae
Description: tRNA-Leu
Rfam family: tRNA
About the family: Transfer RNA (tRNA) molecules are approximately 80 nucleotides in length. Their secondary structure includes four short double-helical elements and three loops (D, anti-codon, and T loops).
Source: RNAcentral